UCAAUGGGCGCAAGCCUGAACGAGCGAUGCCGCGUGAGUGAAGAAGGCCUUCGGGUCGUAAAGCUCUGUUGCGGGGGAAAAAAGGCAGCAUCAGGAAAUGGGUGCUGACUGAUGGUGCCCCGCCGGAAAGUCACGGCUAACUACGUGCC
This 149-nucleotide ribosomal RNA is filed under the name uncultured bacterium. Its description in RNAcentral is "partial 16S ribosomal RNA". It matches the Rfam family "Bacterial small subunit ribosomal RNA", at positions 368 to 509 of the family's 1533-position model. The record is from RNAcentral.